UGGGGAAUAUUGCACAAUGGGCGAAAGCCUGAUGCAGCGACGCCGCGUGCGGGAUGAAGGCCUUCGGGUUGUAAACCGCUUUUAAUUGGGAGCAAGCGAGAGUGAGUGUACCUUUUGAAUAAGCACCGGCUAACUACGUGCCAGCAGCCGCGGUAAUACGUAGGGUGCAAGCGUUAUCCGGAAUUAUUGGGCGUAAAGAGCUCGUAGGCGGUUUGUCACGCCUGGUGUGAAAGUCCAUCGCUUAACGGUGGAUCUGCGCCGGGUACGGGCAGGCUAGAGUGCAGUAGGGGAGAUUGGAAUUCCCGGUGUAACGGUGGAAUGUGUAGAUAUCGGGAAGGAACACCAAUGGCGAAGGCAGAUCUCUGGGCUGUUACUGACGCUGAGGAGCGAAAGCAUGGGGAGCGAACAGGAUUAGAUACCCUGGUAGUCCAUGCCGUAAAACGGUGGAUGCUGGAUG
RNAcentral lists this ribosomal RNA (457 nucleotides) under uncultured bacterium. RNAcentral describes it as "partial 16S ribosomal RNA". It matches the Rfam family "Bacterial small subunit ribosomal RNA", at positions 355 to 822 of the family's 1533-position model. The record is from RNAcentral.